Non-coding RNA from Clupea harengus (Atlantic herring), 1239 nucleotides. The record is from the annotation of a RefSeq genome assembly. Lineage: Eukaryota; Metazoa; Chordata; Actinopteri; Clupeiformes; Clupeidae.
AGGGGUGGUGGGUUUCAGGGUGUGUUGCCUAAAAUCAUGUCACUCGGUAGAAUAGGAUGGAGAGAGGCUUUCUAAAGAUUGAUUCAUGAUUGUAUGACUGCCAGGUCCUUUACCCCCCACUCUUCAUUAAGGACUGAAUUUGCCUGUGGUUUUAAUGCUGUUGAAAAAAAAAAUCCAUUCCAAUAUUGCCAAAAACAAUCAACUUUGUUCUGUAAUAAUAUAACUUACAAAUCAUAAUUAGAUACCAGAAAACAUACAAGUAUAUAUUGUCAUUAUUGCCUCACCAUAAUUCAUUUUAUUGAUGAUGUUUCUGCCAUUCAUCAUGUUAACACAUUGUGUUGCCAUAGAUUGUUCGAUGAAGGAGCACUGAUGAAGGACUGAGUUACUCUUUUGUUCCUGAGGGAGGCGCUCUAUGUUGAUGUUUCAGAUCUUCAAAUUCAGGAGGUUACAGCAGAUCUAUCACUCUUGCCUGACUGUGUUUGCUGUCUGUCGAGGUCGAAGAGACACAACUACACAAAUAGCUGCCUGUCUGGGAGAAAGGACGAAACAAUGAUAUUUCUCUGUGCUAUGAUGAUUUUGUUCCUGUUUAUAGAUGACACCACAGCAAAUGUCAUAACACCUCUUGGCUCAGCCAAGAAUGUUAUGAAGUGUGAGAGUGUCAUAUUCACCUGUAAGUACAACUACAGUGGAUCUAUAAGUGCACUACAGUGGUAUCGUCAGUAUCCCAGAUCUAAACCUGAGUUCCUCCUAUUCAUAACGGAAUCUAACGGCACUGGAGAAGUUCCCUCACGCAUGUCUUCUCACACCACCAAAGACACCAAGCAUGUGUUCCUGGAGAUCUCCUCUGUUGAAGUCUCUGACUCGGGUCUCUACUACUGCGCCCUGCAGCCCACAGUAACAGGAAAUGCACAGGUGCUGUACAAAAACCUGGUGUCUUUUUAAAGCAAUUCUCAUACCAAUUAUAAUUCCUUUCACUAUCAUAUUUCAUUUAACUUUAAUUUUCAUUUUGUUUCAUUUUUAUUUAUUUUGUUGAAAAAUGUCAUCUUCAAAAAUCAGAGGAAGUUACAAGACGCAGUCUCAUAACACAAUUCCAAUUGCCCACCUAGCUGAUCAAUCCGAGCACACUGGACUCAUCGGGAAGGGGGGAAUCUGAAGGCUGACUAUCCAAAUAAAGUGUUAAUGGAUUACUGUAAGUCAAUAAAAAGUAAUUUCUUACCCAUAGUUGAUAUUUUACAGUGA